RNAcentral lists this long non-coding RNA (737 nucleotides) under Heterocephalus glaber (naked mole-rat). Its description in RNAcentral is "lncRNA (ENSHGLG00100039103.1)". Lineage: Eukaryota; Metazoa; Chordata; Mammalia; Rodentia; Bathyergidae. The record is from RNAcentral.
CCUCCAGGCCCCGCCCCCUGGCCCAACGGCUUGCGUCAGCGCGCCGCCAUGGUCUCACUAUGUAGUUCAGACUGGCCUUCAACUUGGGAUGAUCCUCCUGCCUCCUGAGUGCUGGGAUUGCAGGAUCUCACUAUGUCACUAACUUGCCCAGACUGGGCUCAAACGCAGAGAAGUCUGAUAAUGUGAGAAAUCACGCCAUGAGGAGUCCUGGAUAGCCAGGGGAAAGACCAUGUGAAGAGAGUCUGUGGCCCAGCCUCCCCGCCGAGGACUUGUGUGCAGAAGCCAGCUUGGGUGGCUGUGCUCAGUCAGGACUUCCACAGACUGCACCCCCAGCGCCUCUGAUUGCAACUGCGUGAGCGCCGGUACAUGGGAACCAUUCAGCAAAGCCCCACUCAUCUUCACAGCUCUGAGAAAUAAUCAUAAACUGUGUUAAGUCGUUAAAUUCUGAAGUUAUUUGUUGCUGUGGUUGGGAUACAUGUUCCCCAGAGGUCAUGGGUUACAGGUCUAUCCCCAGCUUGGAACUACUGGGAGGCAGUGGAAACUGUAAGACCCAGGGCCUGGUGGGAGGUCAUUAGUCUUGUGGCUGUGGCCUUCAAGGGAAUUCAACGACAGUCCCUUCUUCUUCCUCCCUUUCACUUCCUGUCCAGUGCCACACACUCCCCACCACUGCCAUCUGCCAGCAGAGGCCUAAAAGUAACAGAUCCGCCUGAUUAUGGACUGGGACCAGAAUAAACAGC